RNAcentral lists this long non-coding RNA (926 nucleotides) under Capsicum annuum. RNAcentral's name for it is "long non-coding RNA (CANN_LNC012564)". The record is from RNAcentral. Lineage: Eukaryota; Viridiplantae; Streptophyta; Magnoliopsida; Solanales; Solanaceae.
UUUGCCUUCUUUUUCUUCAUCUUUUAUUUUUCCUGUUGAGUAUGAUUGUUGAAUAGGGGGCUUGCUUUGAUUUCAAAUUGUGUUGUCACUAUCUUGACUUGCAAGCAGAAGUUGUGGGUUCAUAAUCUAAAAAAAUCAGUUGGUUUUGAAUAUUAUGAAUUCAUACAUGUGUGUAUUUUAUUUGUUUGUCGUAGACUUUUGGGAAUCUUGUUGCUAAGCACGAUUUAGGUAUGGAAGUUUAUUCCGUGUAUAUGUGGAUCUGUUGAUAUCAAACAUGGCAUUUCUUAUCACUUUUUGUUUCUUUUCUUAAUCCAUAACGGAUUUGAAUUUCUAGCGAUCACCCUUUGGUGUUUAAUGUGUGGUUUGAAUUGAAUGAAUCUUGGCCGGAAAAUUAACUUAUUUAUUUGGGAGAUAUAUUGGGCAAAUCAAAAGAGCUGUUUUAGACUUUUUGAUUUUUUUUCAAGUUAGCUGUUGAAGUAGUGAAGCUAUUGAGUGGAGCGAAAAAAAAUAAAACAAAAAUGCAAUCUGUAAGAUUAUCUCGGGGUUGAAAAUCCGAGUUCGCAAGUAGAAUGAACAUGUGAUCCUAUUGUCUUUAAGAUUGUACUACGUCGUUCAUUCUUCGUGGGUUCACUUUAUGAAUGCCACCCUUUCCCAAGUUUCUAUACCUGCAUUCUAGCUUUUUCUUGUCAUUAAGUUUUGAAAGAAAAGAACUAGUCAUCGUUUAGGUAAAAUAUUGGCGAACUAUUGCUUAGUAAUAAUAAUCUUUCACUUUGCUGAUAACCAUUGUUAUACUAGCAUGCUAAAUGAGUGUUAUUUUCCUUAAUUGGUGUCAAGUAUCAGCCUUUUCGUGUGUUCAUAAUUUCCUCUUCUUUUGGUUUGCUAAAAGUUUAAUGAUCCUAAGUUACUGCUUCUUUCUUUUUCAAAAU